Non-coding RNA from Prunus avium (sweet cherry), 1685 nucleotides. Lineage: Eukaryota; Viridiplantae; Streptophyta; Magnoliopsida; Rosales; Rosaceae. The record is from RefSeq and is a predicted model, not a curated record.
UUGGAGUCAGCCAUCUGGAUAUCAGCCUAUGACCAGUUCCGCUUGUUUUUACUGUGGACAGGCAGGACAUCGCAAGAGGGAUUGCCCGCAACGUGAACAGCAGAGCGGUCCCACCCAGAGGAGCGGAGUAACAUGUUUUCAUUGUGGGCAGUCUGGACACUAUAGGAGUGAGUGUCCACUCCUUACUGCUGCGGGUACAACUGGACAGGAGCUUGGGGCCCAGCAGGGGUAAAGCGGUAGAGGACAUGGUCAGACCCGGGGCGGGGCAUCUUCUUCUGCAGCCGGUUCUUCUUCAAGCAGCGGAGUUCAGUCCACUUUCCGUGGACGAGGCGGUAGGAGUCAGAGGGGUCAGCCAGGCGUGCUACUACUCAGGCCCGUGUUUUCUCCAUGACCCAGCAGGAGGCUUAGGCCACACCGGAUGUUAUCACUGGGGAUGUCCUGUUUGCGGACAUGGUAUUCAAGGGUUGUUAUGUCCAAGUGGGAGAUGCAAUGUUAGAAGCUGAUUUGAUUCCCUUAUAUUUGGUGGAUCUUGAUAUUAUCUUGGAAAUGGAUUGGUUAGAGAAGCAUCGGGCAUCAGUGGAUUGUUUCAGGAAGGAGGUAAUAUUUAGAAGUCCGGGACAACCUGAAGUCAUGUUCUGUGGAGAGCGUAGAGUUAUUCCUUCUUGUCUCAUCUCCGCCAUCACGGCAAAAAGGUUACUUAAGAAGGGAUGUGUGGGGUACUUAGCCCACAUCAUUGAUACUUAGGAGAUCACUUUGAAUCUAGAAGAUGUUCCUAUUGUUCGUGAGUUUCCGGAUGAUCUUCCUGGUUUGCAUCUGCGGAAUGCCGGAUAUCUUAGACGGGAUCCGUCCUGGUUUCCGAGGAAAUUUGGGGCGGGUCCUGUCAGAAAAAGUUUGGGAAUGUUUGGCAGCACUCUUAUGUGUUUCUUCUAUACUCUUAAUUGAUUAUAAUGGUGAUUUCAAUGAUUAGUUUUUUUUUAUAUCUCGUAUAUAUAUUUUUUUCUAAAAUGUGUUUCUUUGUUAAACUCAAAUGCCAGGGUUAAUAAUGAAGAAAUGUAUUGUCAAAUUGAAUUGGAAUAAUCAGGAAAUUGGAUUAUAUUUAUAAAUAAAUAAUAAAAAAACACAAACACAGAUACGGCGUGCAAAACGCGCCGUAAAUAUGUAUCAAAUAAAGCUUUUAUGUCGCGCCAAAAGAGCCGUGUAAUGUAUACCAAUUAAAGCGUGCAAAAUGCGCCGCAAAUAGUUGUCCAAACCUGAUACGAGAACUCAAUCAUGGCGCACCUUAUUAACGCUUGUGGCAAGCGAAUGCACGCCGUAAAAAGAAAAGGCUUUUUACGGCUUGGCCUUUCGUAGCACGCAGCCGCACGCCGUGAAUUAUCAUUUACGGCGCACAACACACGCCGUAAAUACCCAAUUUUCUUGUAGUGAUUGAUAAGAUUGGCUUCAUUUUGGAAACACCACAAAUGGUAUAACAUAUUGCUAGUAUUAAAGCCAAAUGGUUCAUGGUUUUGGGGCUUAUUAGUUUCAUUUUGAAAUUGCGGAUGUUUAUUUGUAUGUAUUAAUGGUAGAAUUGUGUGUAGUGAACUGAACCUUUAAUUUCUAAGUCAUGUAGAUGACUUUGGCAUAAAUGAAGAAUUUCUAACUUCUGCAUAUAUGAAAUGUACAUGUCAAUUUGGUUUGGAGGAAAA